RNAcentral lists this non-coding RNA (299 nucleotides) under Triticum aestivum (bread wheat). RNAcentral describes it as "Bacterial small subunit ribosomal RNA". It matches the Rfam family "Bacterial small subunit ribosomal RNA", at positions 943 to 1211 of the family's 1533-position model. The record is from Rfam by way of RNAcentral. Lineage: Eukaryota; Viridiplantae; Streptophyta; Magnoliopsida; Poales; Poaceae. RNAcentral also lists the same sequence under 1 other name.
GGUUUAAUUCGAUACAACGUGCAAAACCUUACCAGCCCUUGACAUAUAAACAACAAAACCUGUCCUUAACAGGAUGGUACUGACUUUCAUACAGGUGCUGGAUGGCUGUCGUCAGCUCGUGUCGUGAGAUGUUUGGUCAAGUCCUAUAGCCAGUUAAACCCUCGUUUUGUGUUGCUGAGACAUGCGCCUAAGGAGAAAUUGCCACCGAGUUACGUGCCAACGCUACUACUUGAAACUAGGGCGCACCUAAGGGGGAGAGGACUUGGACUCCAAGUCCAAUCCUAUUCCUACUAGGACUC